AGGACGAACGCUGGCGGCGCGCUUAACACAUGCAAGUCGAGCGGUAAGGCUCCUUCGGGAGUACACGAGCGGCGAACGGGUGAGUAACACGUGAGCAAUCUGCCCUUCACACUGGGAUAACCCCGGGAAACCGGGGCUAAUACCGGAUGCGACCACCGACGGCAUCGUCUGGUGGUGGAAAGUUCCGGCGGUGGAGGAUGAGCUCGCGGCCUAUCAGCUUGUUGGUGGGGUAAUGGCCUACCAAGGCUUCGACGGGUAGCCGGCCUGAGAGGGUGACCGGCCACACUGGGACUGAGACACGGCCCCAGACUCCUACGGGAGGCAGCAGUGGGGAAUAUUGGACAAUGGGCGAAAGCCUGAUCCAGCAACGCCGCGUGAGGGAUGACGGCCUCGGGUUGUAAACCUCUUUCAGCAGGACGAAGCGCAAGUGACGGUACCUGCAGAAGAAGCACCGGCCAACUACGUGCCAGCAGCCGC
This 477-nucleotide ribosomal RNA is filed under the name uncultured bacterium. Its description in RNAcentral is "SSU rRNA". It matches the Rfam family "Bacterial small subunit ribosomal RNA", at positions 26 to 518 of the family's 1533-position model. The record is from RNAcentral.